Capsicum annuum is the source of this 743-nucleotide long non-coding RNA. RefSeq lists it as uncharacterized. The record is from RefSeq and is a predicted model, not a curated record. NCBI's taxonomy places the organism in Eukaryota, Viridiplantae, Streptophyta, Magnoliopsida, Solanales, Solanaceae. The transcript has 4 exons.
AACUACUGAUCAAACCUCUUUCCAUUUAAAUUAAAAAGAAAACCGCUCCUUCACUACAUUCUCUCUACAACUCCAUCUUUCUCUCUCUUUCUCGCUCCCCCACAUAAACUGAUCGCCGGCGGCGGACAAUCAAAUGCCGCUGCCGCUUGUCACCGACGAGACCACCAUCGGGAACAGCUCUUCAACUACCGCCGCCGCAAAUCAUGGGAUUGAACGAUGUGGAUCUUACAGAUGAUGGUGAUGGAGGAGGAGAUGGUGUUGGUGGAGAAGAUAAGGCAUCGGGCGGUUUCGUGUUCGAUUUGCCUUGAUGCUGUAACCGACAAUGGGGAUAGAUCCUAGGGAUGGUUAUUAGGGAAAUCAGUAAUGCAAUCUCUACAACUCUGUGUUUGGCCUCAACAAUUCAGAGCAAUUUACAAGAGAGAAGUAAAGGUGGAUAAGCAUGAAGUUGGAGGAUUAGGAUGGUUAAUCAGAAGAAAAAAAGGAGCAGUGGCUAUUAAAAUUAGCUACAAAGCCAUACAAAUGGUGUUUAUUUCUUGUCACCUUUCUGCCAAGUGAUACGACUAGUGGACUCAUUUCGCCCAUGGAUGCAAGAAGACCACGUGAUGAUACUGAUUCUAAUGACAGUCGUUGAUUUCAUUGCAAAUUGUCUUGAAUAUUCAAUUAUGAUGAUGUAAUUGUGUGGUCUGAGCGAAUCUUAGAAUAUUGAAGGUUUUGUAUUUAAAUUUGAUUUUGAAAUUUGAAGA